UUACGGCCACAUCACGUUGAAACAUCGGUUCUCGUACGAUCUCCGAAGUUAAGCAACGUCGCCCCUGGUUAGUACCUACAUGGGUGACCGCUUGGGAAUACCAGGUGCAGCAAG
Acanthosepion pharaonis is the source of this 114-nucleotide non-coding RNA. The record is from the annotation of a GenBank genome assembly. NCBI's taxonomy places the organism in Eukaryota, Metazoa, Mollusca, Cephalopoda, Sepiida, Sepiidae.